Molecule: long non-coding RNA, 1261 nt
Organism: Astyanax mexicanus (Mexican tetra)
Lineage: Eukaryota; Metazoa; Chordata; Actinopteri; Characiformes; Acestrorhamphidae
Exons: 2
Source: RefSeq, a predicted model, not a curated record
AUACACCUGUUAAACACACCUGUGGAGAAUGGACAUCUUAAGCAGUAAGCAUUAAGCAAAAUGACGUGUCAUUUAAUCAACACCAGUAAUCACUAACCAUUACAAACAUCCGGAUUAUCAACAUAAUACAGUGCCGUGAAGAAGUAUAAUUUUACUACGCCCUGAUCUGAAGAAAUUCAAGAACAGAUGAGAAAACAAAGUCAUUGAUCAUCCAUCAGUCUGGAAAAGGUUACAAAGUCAUUUCUAGAGCUUUCAGACUGCAGAGAACCACAGUAAGAGCUAUUAUUUACAAAGGGAGAUAACAUCAAACAGUGAUGAACCUUCCCAGGAGUGACUGACCUACCGAAAUUACACCAAAAGGGCAGGGAUAACUCAUCCAGGAGGUCCCAAAAGAACCCAGAACAACAACAGAUCUUACUUGCCUCAGAUAAGGUCAGCAUUAAUAAUUCAAUAAUAAGGAAGAGAUGGGUCAAAAAUGGUAUCCAUGAGUUCCCAGGAUUUUUUUCUCAGGUUUAGUUUUUCACUUAAUAUAUUAAACCUAAAAUGUUGAGACUGCUUUUUUUAUUUACACAGGUUAUCUUUGUCUAAAAUUGAAAUGUGUUUAGUAGGGGUGAAACGAUUACUCGAGUAAAUCGAGUAACUCGAUUUACAAAAUUGAUCGAUUAAUUUUCUGUGCCUCGAGUAAUCGUUUAUUUAAUUAAUAAACUCAGCGCGCGGUAUUUUCGCGACUUUCAUUUUGACAACGCGCUCAGCAUUACGUCACCCUGCCCGGGAACAAGGAGACGGAGGUUUGAGCAGCGGCAAAAAUGGAAGCGGCGAGAGAAAACAGCGAUUUUAAAGGAAUAAAAGCAUUUUAUGUUCGAACUGUGACCUGUACUCGGUGCAGUGCCAAAACAGCGCGUUUUAAUGCUGCACCAUCUGAGCCGAGGACACCCGAGACGCGAGGACGCCGAGAGAGCAGGUCCUGAUAUAUUUUGGAGAAGCGGCUUGGUGGUAAAAGAAUGCAGCACACUGAUCCAACACUGGCAGAACUGACAACGUCUCAGAAGCUAAGAUGCACAACACAAAGACGAUGUUUAUGCCUUUUUUUAUUGAUUUAUACCCUAUAUUUGUUAUUUACAAGAAAUCCAAAUGUGAAAGUAAUGUAAUUAAAUUUAUUUUUUUUAUUGUGGUAUUUAUUUAUUUAUUGUGUUUUAUUUAUUUGUAUUUGCAAUUUGGAAAUGUUGUGAAUUAAAAAAUAUAACUUAUCUAAAAAAGGAAA